RNAcentral lists this ribosomal RNA (1002 nucleotides) under Mycobacteroides abscessus subsp. abscessus. RNAcentral's name for it is "bacterial LSU rRNA". It matches the Rfam family "Bacterial large subunit ribosomal RNA", at positions 1922 to 2925 of the family's 2925-position model. The record is from RNAcentral. Lineage: Bacteria; Bacillati; Actinomycetota; Actinomycetes; Mycobacteriales; Mycobacteriaceae.
AGUAAACGGCGGUGGUAACUAUAACCAUCCUAAGGUAGCGAAAUUCCUUGUCGGGUAAGUUCCGACCUGCACGAAUGGAGUAACGACUUGGGCGCUGUCUCCACCAUGAACUCGGCGAAAUUGCAUUACGAGUAAAGAUGCUCGUUACGCGCAGCAGGACGGAAAGACCCCGGGACCUUUACUAUAGUUUGGUAUUGGUGAUCGGUACGACUUGUGUAGGAUAGGUGGGAGACUUUGAAGCGGGCACGCCAGUGUUCGUGGAGUCAACGUUGAAAUACCACUCUGGUCGUUCUGGUUAUCUAACCUAGGUCCAUUAUCUGGAUCAGGGACAGUGCCUGAUGGGUAGUUUGACUGGGGCGGUCGCCUCCCAAAAGGUAACGGAGGCGCCCAAAGGUUCCCUCAGCCUGGUUGGCAAUCAGGUGUUGAGUGUAAGUGCACAAGGGAGCUUGACUGUGAGAGGGACACCUCGAGCAGGGACGAAAGUCGGGACUAGUGAUCCGACGGUGGCACAUGGAAGCGCCGUCGCUCAACGGAUAAAAGGUACCCCGGGGAUAACAGGCUGAUCUUGCCCGAGCGCUCACAGCGACGGCAUGGUUUGGCACCUCGAUGUCGGCUCGUCGCAUCCUGGGGCUGUAGUCGGUCCCAAGGGUUGGGCUGUUCGCCCAUUAAAGCGGCACGCGAGCUGGGUUCAGAACGUCGUGAGACAGUUCGGUCCCUAUCCGCUGCGCGCGUAGGAAUCUUGAGAAGAGCUGUCCUUAGUACGAGAGGACCGGGACGGACUAACCUCUGGUGUGCCAGUUGUCCUGCCAAGGGCACGGCUGGUUGGCUACGUUGGGAAGUGAUAACCGCUGAAAGCAUCUAAGCGGGAAGCACGCUUCAAGAUGAGGGUUCCCACAGAAUAAUCUGGUAAGGCCCCCGGCAGACCACCGGGUGAUAGGUCGGAUGUGGAAGUGCUGAGAGGCAUGGAGCUGACCGAUACUAAUAGGCCGAGGGCUUGUUUUC